This 497-nucleotide ribosomal RNA is filed under the name uncultured bacterium. RNAcentral's name for it is "partial 16S ribosomal RNA". It matches the Rfam family "Bacterial small subunit ribosomal RNA", at positions 29 to 507 of the family's 1533-position model. The record is from RNAcentral.
AAUGAACGCUGGCGGCAUGCCUAAUACAUGCAAGUCGAGCGAACAGACCAGGAGCUUUCUCCUCUGACUUUAUCGGCGGACGGGUGAGUAACACGUGGAUGACCUACCUAUCCGACUGGGAUAACAUCGCGAAACCAGGUCUAAUACCGGAUAAUAUAUUGCACCUCAUGGUUCCAUCGUUAGAUACGGUUUUUCUGUCGCUUAUAGAUUAAUCCGCGCCUCAUUCAUUAGUUGGUUAGGUAACGGCUUACCAAGGCAGCGAUGCGUAACCGACCUGAGAGGGUGAACGGACACCUGGGAAGUGAGACACGGCCGAGACUCUGACGGGAGGACGCAGUAGGGACUCCUACGCAAGGGGGGAAAGCCUGACGGAGCAACGCCGCGGGAGUGAUGAAGGUGCUCGGACCGGAAAGCGCUGUUAUUAGGGAAGAAGAAAAGUGUAAGUAACCAGGAACGUAUUGACGGUACCGAAUGAGAAAGCUCCGGCUAACUACGUG